Long non-coding RNA from Octopus sinensis (East Asian common octopus), 431 nucleotides. RefSeq lists it as uncharacterized. The record is from RefSeq and is a predicted model, not a curated record. Lineage: Eukaryota; Metazoa; Mollusca; Cephalopoda; Octopoda; Octopodidae. The transcript has 3 exons.
CUCAACAAACCAUAAAGAUAUUGGCUCAUUUUUGGAAUUUGAUCGGGUCUUUUAGGUACCUCCUUAAGUUUAAUAAUUCGAACAGAACUAGGACAACCAGGAUCUCUCCUAAAUGACGAUCAACUAUAUAAUGUAAUUGUUACAGCUCACGCAUUUGUUAUAAUUUUUUUUCUUGUUAUACCUGUUAUAAUUGGCGGAUUUGGAAAUUGACUAGUACCUUCAAUACUAGGGGCACCAGACAUAGCAUUUCCACGAAUAAAUAAUAUAAGUUUUUGACUCUUGCCUCCUUCUCUUACUCUUCUUCUUUCAUCUGCUGCAGUUGAAAGAGGUGUAGGUACCGGAUGAACCGUUUACCCACCUCUUUCAAGAAAUUUAGCCCACAUAGGACCUUCUAUUGACCUGGCUAUUUUCUCACUACAUCUUGCUGGUGG